GACGAACGCUGGCGGCGUGCUUAACACAUGCAAGUCGAACGAUGAAAGUGGAGCUUGCUCCGCUGGAUUAGUGGCGAACGGGUGAGUAACACGUGGGCAACCUGCCCCAGACUCUGGGAUAACUCCUCGAAAGAGGUGCUAAUACCGGAUACGAACUCCUUGGGCAUCCUUGGAGUUGGAAAGUUUUUCGGUCUGGGAUGGGCCCGCGGGCUAUCAGGUUGUUGGUGGGGUAGUGGCCCACCAAGGCGACGACGGGUAGCCGGCCUGAGCGGGCGACCGGCCGCACUGGGACCUGGACACGGCCCAGACUCCUACGGGAGGCAGCAGUGGGGAAGAUUGCGCAAUGGGCGAAAGCCUGACGCAGCGACGCCGCGUGAGGGAUGACGGCCUUCGGGUUGUAAACCUCUUUCAGCAGGGAGGAAGCGAAAGUGACGGUACCUGCAGAAGAAGCACCGGCUAACUACGUGCCAGCCGCCGCCGUAA
This 483-nucleotide ribosomal RNA is filed under the name uncultured bacterium. RNAcentral describes it as "partial 16S ribosomal RNA". It matches the Rfam family "Bacterial small subunit ribosomal RNA", at positions 28 to 523 of the family's 1533-position model. The record is from RNAcentral.